This 3250-nucleotide long non-coding RNA is filed under the name Heterocephalus glaber (naked mole-rat). Its description in RNAcentral is "lncRNA (ENSHGLG00100034818.1)". The record is from RNAcentral. Lineage: Eukaryota; Metazoa; Chordata; Mammalia; Rodentia; Bathyergidae.
GGGCAGCCUGUGCCGCACUCCGAGCGCCAGGAGCUCUCCAGGCUGGUCAAGAACCGCAUGAAGCACCUGGGGCUGCCCACCACGGCUAUGGUGAGCGCUGCCUCCAGCCACGCCCUGGUGCCUUUCUGUGACCAUGCCGCCUGGCCCUGCGGGGCUGGCGGAGGGCAGCGUGGGCUCCGUGACUGCGCUCUCUGCUGCUCUGGGCCUGCCUCGGUGUCCCUGUCUGUAUAGCCAGGGGCGCCGGAGCCUGCAGCCUAGGGAGGCCAUGCCCAAGGCCCCCACCAGGCACAGACCAACCUGCCUGCAGGGUCCGCAGCAUGGGGUCUCCAUCACAGGGACAGGCAGAGCCCCAGCAGGACCCCCUCUGCCCACUGCCUUUCAGGGCACGGCUGCCUCUCUUUGGCGGCAGACGCCCUCUGUGUGGCCUCCCUGGCCUUGCUCAGGGACAUGCAUGACUGGCCUGUGCCCAGGUGGCAGGAGCCUGUCCCUCUGCUUCCUGUGGAGCUGCUCCCUUCACCGAUGGGGACACAGGGGCCUGCGCCACUGUCCCCCACGUCCACCCUCUGGCCUGGCCUCCCUCGGGUUCCAAGGCAGGCCCAGCUAUGGAUCAGCCGUCUGCUUCCUGGGUCUGCCACGUGGGCCGGGCCCUCGCUGGGGCCCCAGAGGCCUGGCAUGCUGGGUGCCGGGGUGGAGGGCUCCUCUAAGGGUGACCCACAGGGCCUCCCGAGCCACAUCCCUGCCAUGCCCGAGUCAGUGUCUCUCAGGGUCCCUGCCCUCUCCCAGGGACCGGCCACCAAGGCCACUCGGAGCGGGCCCUGAGCUCGGACGCGGCAGAUGGAGAGUCCAGCCCGGCCCAGCCACCCCAGCACCAGUGCCUGCCCCGCACCCCCUGCACCCCUGUCACGCACAGAGCUCGCAGAGCAGCCCCUUCCUUUUGGCAGCUGAGUGAGCUUUCCCAAGCAGCUGUCGCUGGCCACCCCGGGGUGUGGACAACCUCCUGCACAGCUGGCCUGUGCCCCGCCACGUGGCUUGCUGACCUCUCUCCUCUCUCUCUGUCUCUGUCUGUGCCUCUCCUGUGUGUUCUUAGAGGGACGUAGCAAAUUUAACAGCCAGUGAUGUCAUGAAUCGGGUAAACCUGGGAUAUUUGCAAGAUGAGAUGAACGAUCAGCAGAACACGCUGUCCUACGUCCUCAUCAACCCUCCACCCGACACGCGGCUGGAGCCCAACGACAUUGUGUACCUCAUCCGCUCCGACCCCCUGGCCCACAUGGCCAGCAGCUCCCCGAGCCACAAGAGCAGCUGCAGCAACAAACUGUCCUCCUGCAACCCCGAGACCGUGACGAGACCCAGCUCUGAGGCUGGGACCUGGGCUGGGCCCUGAAGGGCCGCAGCAAGGAUGCAGGAGGGGCGGCCAGGCACUGCUCUGGCCACAGCCGUUCAUGGUGGCUCCUGGGACAUGGCUCCGUGGGGGUAGGCCUCGCUGCAGGCCGGAGGGGGGUCUCCACACUACCCUGGAGGCUGCCAGGAAGUGGUUUUUAAGCUGUUUUUACAAAUCUGUGACCCAUGUCUUCACAGCUGUGCCGAAACUCGUGACCAGGACCGGCCAAGGUGAAGGGGUGGGUGGCCGGGAGGGGACAGCCGGGGACUGGACACCACCAGAGUCCUCUGCCCUGCAAGGCCACAUCUGGGCGCUGCCAGAGGACAGAGGCCGGGAGGGGAAGGGCGCCCCCUGGGGCCCAGUGCAGGAAGCCCCAUGGCCCGCACAAGGGCUGCCCAGCAGGCUCAAGGCCAUCCAGGCUCCUGCAGGGCUUGGCCUGUGGCAUCUGUCGGCAACAAGGGCGCCCUCUGCUGUGGCUGAGCCCACGACUCUGCAGAAGUCAGAAGAAUUUCCUAUUUUUACACCAAGACUUCCCUCCUGCCUCUUGGGCACAGGGGCAGACAUGGCCUCUCUGUGGCCCACCCCACACUCUCCUAAAGCGAAGCCUUGUUCCUGAACGCCCGGCACAAGAAGCACAAUUCGCCCUGGGUGCUGCCUGCUGCCCUCAGCCUCCAGUCUCCUCCAGGGCAGAGGCCCAGGACCACAGUCACUGCCAGUGUCCCUGGGAUGCCCCUCGGCCAGCGCCUGGUAAUCCCUGCGCUCUGCAGGCUGCAUGUUCCAAGGCAGCUGCCCAGGGGACUUGGGGCUCUGGGCCCAGGGGCUGGAGGACACCGGGGCUCACUUGUUUCACUUAAAAAUGCCCGCCAUGGUCCCCACGACCUAGGCCCGGCCAACACGGCGCUCCAAACUGUGGGCAUCAAACCCUGUGUGGCAGAUUGGCAGCUUGGCUGAGGCGGGUGCCCAGUGUCCAGGAGGUUCCCUGGGGCGGGAGACCCAGGCCUGAGGGUGGGCGCGGCUCCUCGGACCCACAGCUGCUGGGGACCUGUCCACUGGGGGGCAGGGCUGUGUACCUCACCUGUGUCCAUUUUGGGUACCCCAAGAGGCUGGGGUGGAAGGGAAGGGCAAGCAGCUCAGGGACAGCAGGGCCCUUCCGGGGACACGCCCCUCCCCACCGGGACACGCCCCCUGGGCGGGACACGCCCCCGGCCAGGACACGCCCAGGGCCAGACUGCCUUCCACAGCACCGGACACAGCUUGUGCCCCUAUCCUGGCCUGCCUGGUGCCUGCUCAGAAAGUGCCUAGAGGUCCUAAGUGCAGCAUUCUUGGGGACAGAAGGACAGGCAGAGAGGGGCCCUGUGGCAUCAGGACGAGGAAGCCCUUGGCCUUGAAGUGGCAAGCACCCAGCCUGGGCAGGGGAGGCCAGCCCUGUCCUGGCUGGGCUCCAGCCUCCUGCACUGGAGCAGGCCGAGCUUGCCUUGCCCAGGCGGCUCAGUGCCCUCGGCCGCGCCUCCUGCACCCAGGCUCCAGCCCCCUGUGCAGCCACCUGCCUGGCUGUGGGACCCCCUGGAAGGGCUGCUGUCCCUGGGUGGCACCUGGGGGGACGUCCUCCGCCUCGGGUUUGGGCUACAGCACGUGGCCAAGUGCGGCAGCAUCCUCCUAGUCUCUGGCAGGGCCGGGUCUGCCUCCCACAGGUGUGCGUGCCCAGGAUCUCGGCUGCUGAGGGUGUCAGGCCCUGGACAGGGUACCCUGCUCUGCCAGAACACACGGGGGCAGUGCUUGGGGUGCCCCCGCACUGGGCCAGGGGUCGCUGUCCUGAGACGUUGGUCACCAGCCCAAUAAAAGCUGCCUGUGCAUCUGGAAGCUUUGUGCUCC